Molecule: long non-coding RNA, 244 nt
Filed under: Solanum tuberosum (potato)
Lineage: Eukaryota; Viridiplantae; Streptophyta; Magnoliopsida; Solanales; Solanaceae
Description: long non-coding RNA (STUB_LNC002372)
Source: RNAcentral
UCAAAAAUUACCUUCAGAUUUCAAUUACGAAAUAUAAUUUUUUAACCAAUCAUGAUUUUUUUCUCAUCGAUAUUGUUGGUCACUAAACAACAUAUAGAUAAAUACAACUAGCUAGUCAAAUUGGCAAAUAUAAUCACAUGUGAUUUGCAAGAUCUCAAAGAAUCCAUAAAAAUAUGCCGUGCUACUUAAAGAUUUUACAUUGAGGAAUAAUAAUUUGACUCUGUAUAUUGAUUUUAUGGUUAUU